CCUACGGGAGGCAGCAGUGAGGAAUAUUGGUCAAUGGGCGAGAGCCUGAACCAGCCAAGUAGCGUGAAGGAUGACUGCCCUACGGGUUGUAAACUUCUUUUAUAAAGGAAUAAAGUGCAGUAUGUGUACCUUUUUGUAUGUACUUUAUGAAUACGGAUCGGCUAACUCCGUGCCAGCAGCCGCGGUAAUACGGAGGAUCCGAGCGUUAUCCGGAUUUAUUGGGUUUAAAGGGAGCGUAGGUGGGCUGUUAAGUCAGUUGUGAAAGUUUGCGGCUCAACCGUAAAAUUGCAAUUGAUACUGGCAGUCUUGAGUGCAGUUGAGGUAGGCGGAAUUCGUGGUGUAGCGGUGAAAUGCUUAGAUAUCACGAAGAACUCCGAUUGCGAAGGCAGCUUACUAAACUGGAACUGACGUUGAUGCUCGAAAGUGUGGGUAUCAAACAGGAUUAGAUACCCUGGUAGUC
RNAcentral lists this ribosomal RNA (460 nucleotides) under uncultured bacterium. Its description in RNAcentral is "partial 16S ribosomal RNA". It matches the Rfam family "Bacterial small subunit ribosomal RNA", at positions 338 to 795 of the family's 1533-position model. The record is from RNAcentral.